ACUCUAAAUGGAAGCACUGUC
RNAcentral lists this microRNA (21 nucleotides) under Macaca mulatta (Rhesus monkey). RNAcentral's name for it is "Mml-Mir-430-P29b-v1_5p* (star (passenger))". The record is from RNAcentral. Lineage: Eukaryota; Metazoa; Chordata; Mammalia; Primates; Cercopithecidae.